UACGAGUGCCUCAAGCGUUAUCCGGAAUCAUUGGGCGUAAAGGGUGUGUAGGCGGUUUUGUUAGUCUUUUGCUAAAUUCAUCGGCUCAACUGAUGGCUCGCGGAAGAAACGGCAAAACUUGAGAGUGCGAGGGGUGUACAGAACUCAUAGUGUAGGGGUGAAAUCCGUUGAUAUUAUGGGGAAUACCAAAAGCGAAGGCAGUACACUGGCGCAAUUCUGACGCUGAGACACGAAAGCGUAGGUAGCGAACGGG
This 253-nucleotide unclassified non-coding RNA is filed under the name uncultured Parcubacteria group bacterium. Its description in RNAcentral is "contains 16S-23S intergenic spacer region". It matches the Rfam family "Bacterial small subunit ribosomal RNA", at positions 524 to 776 of the family's 1533-position model. The record is from RNAcentral.